AACGUAGGAGGCGAGCGUUAUCCGGAUUUACUGGGCGUAAAGCGCGUGUAGGCGGUUUCAUAAGUCGUGCGUGAAAGCUCCCUGGCUCAACCGGGAGAGGUCGUGCGAUACUGCGAAACUUGAGUCAGACAGAGGCAAGUAGAAUUCCGGGUGUAGUGGUGAAAUGCGUAGAUAUCCGGAGGAAUACCAGUGGCGAAGGCGACUUGCUGGGUCUGUACUGACGCUCAGACGCGAAAGCAUGGGGAGCGAA
Molecule: ribosomal RNA, 250 nt
Filed under: uncultured bacterium
Lineage: Bacteria
Description: partial 16S ribosomal RNA
Rfam family: Bacterial small subunit ribosomal RNA
Source: RNAcentral